This is a non-coding RNA of Phrynosoma platyrhinos (Desert horned lizard), 73 nucleotides long. NCBI's taxonomy places the organism in Eukaryota, Metazoa, Chordata, Lepidosauria, Squamata, Phrynosomatidae. The record is from the annotation of a GenBank genome assembly.
GCCAGAGUGGCAUAGUGGUUUGAGCACUGGACAGCACACUCUGGAGACCAGGAUUCGAUUCCCAGCUCGGACA